AUGGCCGCCAUCAAGAUGAAGCUCGUGGUGGACAGGUCGUCUAACCGCGUGCUGUUCGCCGACGCCGGCUCCGACUUGGUCGACGUCCUCCUCGCCUUCCUCACGCUCCCGAUCUCCGCCGUCCAGCUCGCCGCAGGCGCGUCCUCGCCGGGCUGCCUCACAAACCUCUGCGCCAGCGUCCGCCACCUGGGGGACGCUAAACUGUUGAAGGGCGAGGCCUGCCACGGCACGCUUCUCAGGCCUACGCACGCCGAUGAAUUUGGGUACGACCGCUUGCCAUGCCCACGGUGCACUCCGUUCAUGGAAACACAACUGAUUCCACAGGGACAGGGACACAACCAGCAGUACGGCUGCAGGUGCUGGGACGUCAUGGCUAGGCUUGUGCAUGUGUACAACCAAGCAACACAAACGGAGGUGUUCUCCAAGUGGAAAGAGAGGUUCGUGAUCAGCGACGAUUUGGUGAUCAAGCCGGCGGCGACGAGCACCGUCUUGUCUUUUCUUCAGAGGUUCUUAGGAGGAGAUAGGAUCAAUGACGCCUACCAAGUGGAGGUGGACGUCGGAUGGACCCAGGUUGUUUCCUUGCUCAGGGCAUGUGUCUCGUCCACCACCAUAUUCACCGACGUGUUUCUCACGAAAAGAACCGAUGCUUUGAUGAGCACAUCGGUGCUCACGAUUUACAAGCCUCGGCGUCAAGAAACCAACGACGACCCUGGUCCGCAGAUGAGCAUCAAGCUUUUCUUCGACAAGGAGGACAGAAAGGUCAUGUACGCUGAGUGCAAGCAUGACUUCGUGGACCUGCUCCUCAGUUUCCUGACCUACCCCAUGGGAUGCAUCCUCAAGAACCUGGCCGGCACCUCUCACCGGUUCCGCAGCUUCAACAAUCUUUACAGCAGCGCCGACGGUCUCAACACGUCUGGCUUCCUGACGGGGCACUGCUUCGGUGACAAGAGCAUGCUCCUGGAUCCUAGUCUAGCUCCGUUGAGGACCCACGGCAUCCAUGGGUCGGAACAAGCAAUUGUGGAGUGGUAUUAUCUCUGCCGCACCGGAAAGCGGCAUUGCUUGUGCACAAAGGAUAAAAGGCCAUGCCAUUUAUGCAAUCCGGGGUUUGUCGACGAUCACACCUAUGUUGUCGACGACGAGUUGCGUAUACAUCAAGCUUCCGCCGUGUCGGUGCUGAAGCACUGGCGCAAGAGAAACCGGGAUAAUGUAGUGGAGAUGGACAUUGCUGCUGUCGCGCUACUGCAAGCGGUGAUCAAUUCAGAGACUGCGCUGACAGAUGCGUUCAAGGGGAGGUUUCAGCAGGCAGCACAACAGUUGCCACCUUCGAAAAGAAGAACAUGUUCGCCAUCGGUGGAGAACAUGCAGAUCUUUGUCAAGAUCUUCACAGGCGAGACCAUCACCCUUGACGUGGCAAGCUCCGACACGGUUGCUGCCGUGAGGAGUAAGAUCCAGAUGAAGGGGAAGCUAAUGGCUGAUUGUAGGUUAGUGUACGGUGGCAAAUGCCUGCAGGAUCCAUGGACCCUGGCUGAUUGUGGCAUUCACAGAGAAGCCACCAUCCACCUUGAGUUUUACCCCCGCGGCCUUAUGAAAACAGAAACAGAAUGA
Molecule: ribosomal RNA, 1605 nt
Filed under: Triticum aestivum (bread wheat)
Lineage: Eukaryota; Viridiplantae; Streptophyta; Magnoliopsida; Poales; Poaceae
Description: partial small subunit ribosomal RNA
Source: RNAcentral